RNAcentral lists this non-coding RNA (45 nucleotides) under Trypanosoma lewisi. Lineage: Eukaryota; Euglenozoa; Kinetoplastea; Trypanosomatida; Trypanosomatidae. The record is from RNAcentral.
AUAUUAUGCAACAACAAAAAUAAUGUUGUAGAUGUAGUGUGUGUA